UACGUAGGGUGCAAGCGUUGUCCGGAAUUAUUGGGCGUAAAGAGCUCGUAGGCGGCCCGUCGCGUCGGCUGUGAAAACCCGAGGCUCAACCUCGGGCCUGCAGUCGAUACGGGCAGGCUAGAGUUCGGUAGGGGAGACUGGAAUUCCUGGUGUAGCGGUGAAAUGCGCAGAUAUCAGGAGGAACACCGGUGGCGAAGGCGGGUCUCUGGGCCGAAACUGACGCUGAGGAGCGAAAGCGUGGGGAGCGAACAGG
Molecule: ribosomal RNA, 253 nt
Filed under: uncultured bacterium
Lineage: Bacteria
Description: partial 16S ribosomal RNA
Rfam family: Bacterial small subunit ribosomal RNA
Source: RNAcentral